This 497-nucleotide ribosomal RNA is filed under the name uncultured bacterium. Its description in RNAcentral is "partial 16S ribosomal RNA". It matches the Rfam family "Bacterial small subunit ribosomal RNA", at positions 28 to 507 of the family's 1533-position model. The record is from RNAcentral.
GAUGAACGCUGGCGGCGUGCUUAACACAUGCAAGUCGAGCGAACAGACGAGGAGCUUGCUCCUCUGACGUUAGCGGCGGACGGGUGAGUAACACGUGGAUAACCUACCUAUAAGUCUGGGAUAACCUCGGGAAACCGGAGCUAAUACCGGAUAAUAUAUUGAACCGCAUGGUUCAAUAGUGAAAGACGGUUUUGCUGUCACUUAUAGAUGGAUCCGCGCCGUUUUAGCUAGUUGGUAAGGUAACGGCUUCCCAAGGCAGCGAUGCGUAGCCGACCUGGUCGACGGGUCGCCGGCACUGGAGCUGGGACGCGGACCAGGCGCCUACGGGAGGCAGCAGUAGGGUAUGUUACGCAGUGGGCGGGAGCCUGGCGGAGCGAGGGCACGUGAGAGGCAGCAAUCUUCCGUGCGGGAAGCUCUGUUAUGGGGGGAAAACAAAUGUGUAAGUAGCUGUGCACGUCUUGACGGUACCUGCUCAGAAAGCACCGGCUAACUACGUG